Long non-coding RNA from Mya arenaria, 385 nucleotides. RefSeq lists it as uncharacterized. The transcript has 3 exons. Lineage: Eukaryota; Metazoa; Mollusca; Bivalvia; Myida; Myidae. The record is from RefSeq and is a predicted model, not a curated record.
CAGGUUUGUUAACCUGCAGGGGCUGCCACUGUCUUCCUUCAGGAUGCCCUACAUUCACUUCAAAAAACAAGGGUGUCAGUUUCCAGCAAAAUAAUCCAGGAAGAAGUCCAGGUCUUACUGUCUAAUAUUAGGCUCAAUGCUGUGCUGAAAGAUGUGAGGCCGGGAGACAUACUGAUGACCUGCUUUACUGAUGUUGUUGCCAACACCUACAAACCAUUCACUACAACUACCACAACAAACAUUAAACUGAUAAUGCAGAAAAUCUGAGCUACCUUUGUGAAAGAGGCCAAGAGAGGAUUGGAUGGUGAAGUUUCAGAUGACACAAUGCUGACUGUUUCCACAGAGCUGAUUUUGCUUCCUACUGGCAGCAGAAGGAAGUCUUCAC